This 232-nucleotide ribosomal RNA is filed under the name uncultured bacterium. RNAcentral describes it as "partial 16S ribosomal RNA". It matches the Rfam family "Bacterial small subunit ribosomal RNA", at positions 118 to 347 of the family's 1533-position model. The record is from RNAcentral.
UGAGGAACAUGACCUUCGGCGGGGGAUAGCCGGCCCAACGGCCGGGUAAUACCGCGUACGACCACAUGGGGACAUCCCUGAGUGGUGAAAGCAGCAAUGCGCCGAUGGAGUGCCUCGCGGCCUAUCAGCUAGUUGGUGAGGUAACGGCUCACCAAGGCGACGACGGGUAGCUGGUCUGAGAGGAUGGCCAGCCACAGUUGGGACUGAGACACGGCCCAGACCUCUACGGGGA